ACGAUACAACACUGAGAGGCCAGAACAAAGAGACGAGAGGAUGGCGGCGGUGCAGGCUGAUCGAGAUCGGGCCUGGCUGAGAGGGUCGCAGGAGAACAGGCACCCAGAUGUGCCGGGCAGUGGGUGCAGGUGCAGCCACACAGAAGGAGGGGCCGUGGAGGGCCCGACGCCCCGGUGACUGCACGGAGCGCCCGCGCCCGCCCCACCCCCGUCACCGUGAGGAAGUGGCAGCUGUGUUGACUUUUCGCGACCAGCAGCAGGACACCCCGGCUCAGCGCGCUCUGCUUGUGUGGCCCCCUCGCCACAGGACAGCUGGUGGCGAGCGAUGUAAGAACACUGUCAGUCAAGCAGGGACUCAGGUGGAGGAGAGACAACCAGGCCCCGGCCCCUUGCCGGCAGCUCUGGGCUCCGCUUCCGGCCGCCCGCACACUGCUGCUGCUCCGGGCGGGAAGAGCCCACAGCCCCCGGGACUAAGGCCAGUCUCCCUCCUCCCCAGACGGUGGAGUCCCAGCAGAGAACACUGUGAGCAGGGCCCCGCCCGCACACUGCUCCCCCAGGGCAGCGCAGAGGCCCCUCAGGGAGCGAGGGACAGUCCCCACACGGGAAUUGGAAAGCGCCCUUUCCCCACGCCAGGCCUCCCCCGCUAG
RNAcentral lists this long non-coding RNA (647 nucleotides) under Ovis aries (sheep). RNAcentral describes it as "lncRNA (ENSOARG00000026143.1)". The record is from RNAcentral. Lineage: Eukaryota; Metazoa; Chordata; Mammalia; Artiodactyla; Bovidae.